GUGCAGCGGUAAUUCCAGCUCCAAUAGCGUAUAUUAAAGUUGUUGCAGUUAAAACGCUCGUAGUCGGAUUUCGGGGCGGGCCCGCCGGUCUGCCGAUGGGUACGCACUGGCGGGCGCGCCCUUCCUCCCGGAGACGUCCGCUACUCUUAACUGAGCGGUGGGCGGAGACGGGGUAUUUACUUUUAAAAAAUCAGAGUGUUUCAAGCAGGCAGUCGCUCUUGCAUGGAUUAGCAUGGGAUAAUGAAAUAGGACUCUGGUGCUAUUUUGUUGGUUUCGAGCACCGGAGUAAUGAUUAACAGGGACAGUCAGGGGCACUCGUAUUCCGCCGAGAGAGGUGAAAUUCUCAGACCAGCGGAAGACGAACCACUGCGAAAGCAUUUGCCAGGGAUGUUUUCACUGAUC
Molecule: ribosomal RNA, 402 nt
Filed under: Isochrysidales sp.
Lineage: Eukaryota; Haptophyta; Isochrysidales
Description: SSU rRNA
Rfam family: Eukaryotic small subunit ribosomal RNA
Source: RNAcentral